This is a regulatory RNA element of 60 nucleotides. It matches the Rfam family "Ribosomal protein L13 leader". Rfam says of the family: This family is a putative r-protein leader autoregulatory structure found in B. subtilis and other low-GC Gram-positive bacteria. It is located in the 5' untranslated regions of mRNAs encoding the L13-S9 (rplM-rpsI) ribosomal protein operon. The record is from Rfam.
GGUACAUUGUUUUUUCCAUGAUAAGCCCCGGAAACUUAUUAUGUUGAAUAUAAACAAUUG